UGUGUGGAAGAACUGCAUGGCUGCCAGAGGCUGCCCUGGGACAGUAAUGACAUGAACAACUGCAUUUUCCUGUCUGGUGGUUCCACUUUCAGCCCCCUGAUAGAGAGAAUUAUACACAAAAUAACACUGCCCUGGGCAGACACGUGCCUGAAUGUAGUUCUUGUUGUUUGGAGAAAUUUAUAUGUUUUAAAACCAAUAUUUGAUAAUUUUUUUUUUCUGUUCCAGUUACACCCACUUCUACUACUCCCACUGUCCCCACCACUGUCCCCACCACUGUCCCCACCACCAUCCACACCACUGUCCACACCACUGUCCACACUGAAUUAGAAGCUUCACAAGUUAAAUGCUGGUUUGAGAGGUAAAUGCUCCACCUUUAUUUCCUGCCUCCAAACCCUGAGACUGCAGCCUCCUUCUGCAAGGGAGGGGGUUUAUGUCACAUAUUUAAUGUCCUGGGGGUUUAAAAAGUUCAUUGCAGUUUCCUAGUCUGUGCACUAGUGAUGCUUAAGGCAAAUAUGCACCUUUUCAUCUCAUACUGCUUGGGAUAAAUGUGUUAACACUCCAUAAAGUUUGGUGAAUUUGAGCACUGCUGAUGCUCCAACACCUCUGUUAAAACUGGGGCUUCUGACACGAUUUUCUGUGUAUGAACAGUCGUGAAAUACUGUACAUGUCACUGGCCUUCAUCUCUGGCAUCCUCCUGACUGUCCUGGUUUUUGCCAUCAUCUACCUCUCCAGAAAAAAUUGCAAGAAAUCCCACCAAAAUUUCCAAGGGGAAGUUUGCUUCCAGCAAACAGCACCUGGAGAAUGUGCCAGGAACACCCAGAACGAGGUUACCUACAGCACUCUGGUCUUCCAGCAGAAUCAGACACCACUGGCUGUGUGAUGAUGAAGUUCCAAGAGAAAUAAAAAUGGUUUUUUCCACUUUCUGAACAUCAAAAGCCACCAGAACAUUCCACCAAGGCCUGCAGUGCCCUGAGGGUGCCAGCACUGCCAUCUGUAACAUCAGCUCUUUUUAUAGUCACAAGGGGAAAUGCAGGUCUCCCGUUCCAAACCGAUUGCCAAAGGAUGUGGGCAAAUUGAAGGUGCCUUGGUUUUUUUUUUUAAUACAGUAUUUCCUCUUCUGUAGAAAUCUCCCUGCACUUGUAAAGUUUCCAUUACUGAGCUACCAAAGAGAACUGCAUCUAUCCACGUCUGGGCCCUUGUGUUUCCCUUUUCUGUCACCAGCCAUGGCACUUGGCAUAUUUUUUUGAUUGCCAAGUGCUCUGAUUAGUUAUUUUCUGUUAUUGAGGUGAUGAUAAUGAAAUAUUUGUGUGCAAAUGCUGCUUCCUGAUCGGGUCCCAUAAAAGCAAUGCACCAUCACAGCGUGACAGCCAAAAUUUCUCAUUCACGUGUUAUUACCCACAAUGUUCUAAACACGUUGCAAAGAGGGAAAAAUCAUCCCUUCAUCGUCAGCUGGGGAAUAAAUUACCACGAGUGACUCUGAGCAGCCACAGAGAAGCUCCUCUGCACGUUCCCCCGGAUGGGAGGUUUGUCGUCCCGGGGAGUUCGGGGAUCUCCAACUGCUCAAGGCUGAAUGGGAGGGAUGUUUCCUGCUGGCUCAGCCCUCGGGGCCUCAGAAACCUCCUUGUUUGCGGUCACCAGAGAGUGCCAGACUCUUGCAGGUACUUCUGUUUUCUGAGAACGCUGAUAUUUGCAUGCGUGCUGUUCAA
Pseudopipra pipra is the source of this 1706-nucleotide long non-coding RNA. RefSeq lists it as uncharacterized. The transcript is spliced from 3 exons. The record is from RefSeq and is a predicted model, not a curated record. Lineage: Eukaryota; Metazoa; Chordata; Aves; Passeriformes; Pipridae.